UACGGAGGAUGCAAGCGUUAUCCGGAUUCAUUGGGUUUAAAGGGUGCGCAGGCGGAUUAUUAAGUCAGGGGUGAAAUCCCACGGCUCAACCGUGGAACUGCCUUUGAUACUGAUAGUCUAGAGUAUAGUUGAAGUUGGCGGAAUGUGUCAUGUAGCGGUGAAAUGCUUAGAUAUGACACAGAACACCGAUCGCGAAGGCAGCUAGCUAAGCUAUAACUGACGCUCAUGCACGAAAGCGUGGGGAUCAAACAGG
RNAcentral lists this ribosomal RNA (253 nucleotides) under uncultured bacterium. RNAcentral describes it as "partial 16S ribosomal RNA". It matches the Rfam family "Bacterial small subunit ribosomal RNA", at positions 524 to 776 of the family's 1533-position model. The record is from RNAcentral.